Molecule: ribosomal RNA, 119 nt
Filed under: Pteropus alecto (black flying fox)
Lineage: Eukaryota; Metazoa; Chordata; Mammalia; Chiroptera; Pteropodidae
Source: RNAcentral
GUCUACAGCUGUGCCACCCUGAACGUGCCCGAUCUCAUUUGAUCUCAGAAGCUAAGCAAGGUUGGGCCUGGUUACUGCUUGGAUGGGAGACCACCUGAGAAUACCAGAUGCUGUAGGUG